Molecule: ribosomal RNA, 254 nt
Filed under: uncultured bacterium
Lineage: Bacteria
Description: partial 16S ribosomal RNA
Rfam family: Bacterial small subunit ribosomal RNA
Source: RNAcentral
UACGGGGGGAGCAAGCGUUGUUCGGAUUUACUGGGCGUAAAGGGCGCGUAGGCGGUCAGCACAAGUCAGUUGUGAAAUCUCCGGGCUUAACUCGGAAAGGUCAACUGAUACCGUGCGACUAGAGUGCGGAAGGGGCAACUGGAAUUCUCGGUGUAGCGGUGAAAUGCGUAGAUAUCGAGAGGAACACCUGCGGCGAAGGCGGGUUGCUGGGCCGACACUGACGCUGAUGCGCGAAAGCCAGGGGAGCGAACGGG